RNAcentral lists this unclassified non-coding RNA (1418 nucleotides) under uncultured Neocallimastigales. RNAcentral's name for it is "partial contains small subunit ribosomal RNA, internal transcribed spacer 1, 5.8S ribosomal RNA, internal transcribed spacer 2, and large subunit ribosomal RNA". The stretch from base 661 to 1418 matches the Rfam family "Eukaryotic large subunit ribosomal RNA", at positions 1 to 617 of the family's 3401-position model. Lineage: Eukaryota; Fungi; Neocallimastigomycota; Neocallimastigomycetes; Neocallimastigales. The record is from RNAcentral.
UUUCCGUAGGUGAACCUGCGGAAAGAUCAUUAAAAAAUUGGACUCCAUUGGUGAGUUCAUUAAUAAUCCCUACCCUUUGUGAAUUUGUUUGUUUGAAUAAUUUUCUUUCCAAAAAAAAUUAUUGAAUGUCUUUCCUUGUUUUGGUGGAGCUUGUAAAGUGAAACCAGGCAGGGGAAUGGCAAACAAUAAUUAUUUUUGAAAAAGACCUUUUCUUAAAAUUAAACUUUUUGUAUUCAUUUGUCUAAAAUUAAUUUUUAUAAUAUAAAAACAACUUUUGACAAUGGAUCUCUUGGUUCUCGCAACGAUGAAGAACGCAGCAAAAUGCGAUAAGUAGUGUGAAUUGCAGAAUACGUGAAUCAUCGAAUCUUCGAACGCAUAUUGCACUUUUUUAGUUUACUAAAAAAGUAAGUCUGUUUGAGUAUCAGUAAAAUAUUCUCAUAAAAAACAUUGUUUUUUUUAUGGUUAUGAGUGUUUUACAACGAUAACAAGUUGUUUCACUUUAAAUUCCUUGUUAUCAAAAAAAUCAUUAAAAGCUAAUUUUAAAGAUUUUUUAAAAUUGGAUAAAAUUUUCCCGUAAAAAGGAAUAACCUAAACAAUUUUAAAAAAUUAAAAUUGGUUUGAUUUUAUUGAAACCCAAAGAAAAAAAAAACGAAAUUAACUUGAUCUCAAAUCAGAUAAGAGUACCCGCUGAACUUAAGCAUAUCAAUAAGCGGAGGAAAAGAAACUAACUAGGAUUCCCUCAGUAACGGCGAGUGAAGCGGGAAGAGCUCAAAUUUGAAAUCUUCAAGGUUUUACCUUGACGAAUUGUAGUUUAAAGAAGUGUUUUCUGUUGGAGUUUUGGUAAAAGUUCUUUGGAAAAGGACAUCAUAGAGGGUGAGAAUCCCGUAUUUGACCAUUAUCUCCAGCUUUGUGAUACACUUUCAAAGAGUCGGAUUGUUUGGGAAUGCAGUCCAAAAUGGGUGGUAAAUUUCAUCUAAAGCUAAAUACUGGCGAGAGACCGAUAGCGAACAAGUACCGUGAGGGAAAGAUGAAAAGAACUUUGAAAAGAGAGUUAAACAGUACGUGAAAUUGUCAAAAGGGAAGCGUUUGACACCAGUGUUGUUUUCUCGAAAAUCAAUUAAAAAAGGCCGGAUUUUGUGUUGUAUUGACUUUAUCAGCUUUCUGCACUCUUUUCUUGUCUUUUUUAAUGCACUUUUCGUUUAACAAGUCAACAUCAAUUUCUUUUGUUGUAAAAGGGUCAUUGGAAGGUGGCUUUCUUUUCGGAGAAAGUGUUUAUAGCCUUUGGCCUCUGCAAUCGGAGAGAUUGAGGUCUGCAGCGUAGAUCCUUCGGGGUUAGAUACAUUUGUGCUAAGUUAUAGCCUUCCAUAGACAACUUGUUGACUAUGAUCAGUCAUGUAGCUUACUCGCUUAUGCUAUUU